Molecule: ribosomal RNA, 504 nt
Filed under: uncultured bacterium
Lineage: Bacteria
Description: partial 16S ribosomal RNA
Rfam family: Bacterial small subunit ribosomal RNA
Source: RNAcentral
AUUGAACGCUGGCGGCAGGCCUAACACAUGCAAGUCGAGCGGUAGCACAGAGAGCUUGCUCUCGGGUGACGAGCGGCGGACGGGUGAGUAAUGUCCGGGAAACUGCCUGAUGGAGGGGGAUAACUACUGGAAACGGUAGCUAAUACCGCAUAAUGUCGCAAGACCAUAGUGGGGGACCUUCGGGCCUCAUACCAUCAGAUGUGCCCAGAUGGGAUUAGCUAGUAGGUGGGGUAAUGGCUCACCUAGGCGACGAUCCCUAGCUGGUCUGAGAGGAUGACCAGCCACACUGGAACUGAGACACGGUCCAGACUCCUACGGGAGGCAGCAGUGGGGAAUAUUGCACAAUGGGCGCAAGCCUGAUGCAGCCAUGCCGCGUGUGUGAAGAAGGCCUUCGGGUUGUAAAGCACUUUCAGCGGGGAGGAAGGCGGUGAGGUUAAUAACCUCAUCGAUUGACGUUACCCGCAGAAGAAGCACCGGCUAACUCCGUGCCAGCAGCCGCGGUAA